Long non-coding RNA from Oreochromis aureus, 548 nucleotides. RefSeq lists it as uncharacterized. Lineage: Eukaryota; Metazoa; Chordata; Actinopteri; Cichliformes; Cichlidae. The transcript has 3 exons. The record is from RefSeq and is a predicted model, not a curated record.
UAUAGAGAGUUCCUCUACAUGCUAAAGCUGCUUGCUGGGAAAGGUUUAAAAUAGAAAUAAGGGGUGAAUAUUCUAAUCUGUGAUGUUCUUCCGUGACUUGUUGUUGUUAUUAUAUGACAAAGACGUAAAUAUGUCAAUGAGCAGUGGUGUCGUAAGAGACAGGGCUAUCAGCACCAGCAGUUAGCAUUGACAGUCAAUGGCUAAGAGUGCUUUCCCAGUGCUCUGCUCUACCCUCUUCUCUCCAAGCUCCCUCCCGUGUGGUCUGCAGACACCAUCAACAGCCUUCUUGUGUAGCUACAUGAGAGCCUGCAUGAGAUUCCUGGUUAGCUGGUACCCACCACCAACCAAGUUUAAAGUGUUCCAACAGCUAAACACUGGAACCAACAGUCUGGAGAAAAUCUCUCUUCUUCUUUAACAAUCAAUCAAUCAGCCCCCCGUCCUCCUCCUCAUCUGUGAAUAAAGAUUUCAGCUGCUGGUUGUCUGGUGGGGAAAAAAAAUUAACAAAUAAAUGUGGAGAUGAAAAAAAUUGAUCAUAAAACUGAAUGCAU